This 492-nucleotide ribosomal RNA is filed under the name uncultured bacterium. RNAcentral's name for it is "partial 16S ribosomal RNA". It matches the Rfam family "Bacterial small subunit ribosomal RNA", at positions 29 to 507 of the family's 1533-position model. The record is from RNAcentral.
AGUGAACGCUGGCGGUAGGCCUAACACAUGCAAGUCGAACGGCAGCACAGUAAGAGCUUGCUCUUACGGGUGGCGAGUGGCGGACGGGUGAGGAAUACAUCGGAAUCUACUUUUUCGUGGGGGAUAACGUAGGGAAACUUACGCUAAUACCGCAUACGACCUACGGGUGAAAGCAGGGGAUCUUCGGACCUUGCGCGAUUGAAUGAGCCGAUGUCGGAUUAGCUAGUUGGCGGGGUAAAGGCCCACCAAGGCGACGAUCCGUAGCUGGUCUGAGAGGAUGAGCAGCGACACUGUGACUGAGACACGGUCCAGACUGCUACGGGAGGCAGCAGUGGGGAAUAUUGUACAAUGGGCGCAAGCCUGAUCCAGCCAUACCGCGUGGGUGAAGAAGGCCUUCGGGUUGUAAAGCCCUUUUGUUGGGAAAGAAAAGCAGCAGGUUAAUACCCCGCUGUUAUGACGGUACCCAAAGAAUAAGCACCGGCUAACUUCGUG